UAGCAAAGGUUCUUCUUAUCACUAAUAUGGAAAACUUCACACCUGUUUCAAGUGUUCCCCUUCCAACCUUCUUAUUGCAUCUAACUAGGUCAAAAAUUACGGUGAUAGAGUGUGGUUGCCGCUAACUGUCAGUGAAUUCAUUCCGACGAGGCCAACAAAUUUAAAGACCAUUCUUCUAAAUUUUGAAGCUUCACAACAAUAUUAUGCAACAACAGAUCCGUCCAGAUAGAUAAUGUCCAAGAAAAUGGAAAUACCGAUGGAAUUAGAAGAGAACGGCUUACGGCGGACUGGGAGAUCAAACUCAUGAAACAGGAGGUGAAGGACAUCAACCGUGCGGUUGAAGCUCUGAGGCGAGAGCUUUGGACGUUAACGAAUCACUAUAUUAGAUUGGCUAAUCAGAUCAAGAACAACACCAGUGAGGGCAGUGCUGGCGGUGGAUCCCCUAAUGUUGUAAGGGAUGAAGAUGACGUUUACGGUUUUUUACCAUGAUAUUUUUGGGAUUCUAUUUUUUUAUAUGUAAUUAGUAAAGUUUGUA
Long non-coding RNA from Solanum dulcamara, 535 nucleotides. RefSeq lists it as uncharacterized. The record is from RefSeq and is a predicted model, not a curated record. Lineage: Eukaryota; Viridiplantae; Streptophyta; Magnoliopsida; Solanales; Solanaceae. The transcript is spliced from 3 exons.